Molecule: ribosomal RNA, 468 nt
Filed under: uncultured bacterium
Lineage: Bacteria
Description: partial 16S ribosomal RNA
Rfam family: Bacterial small subunit ribosomal RNA
Source: RNAcentral
GACGAACGCUGGCGGCGUGCUUAACACAUGCAAGUCGAACGGAAAGGCCCUGCUUUUGUGGGGUGCUCGAGUGGCGAACGGGUGAGUAACACGUGAGUAACCUGCCCUUGACUUUGGGAUAACUUCAGGAAACUGGGGCUAAUACCGGAUAGGAGCUCCUGCUGCAUGGUGGGGGUUGGAAAGUUUCGGCGGUUGGGGAUGGACUCGCGGCUUAUCAGCUUGUUGGUGGGGUAGUGGCUUACCAAGGCUUUGACGGGUAGCCGGCCUGAGAGGGUGACCGGCCACAUUGGGACUGAGAGACGGCCCAGACUCCUACGGGAGGCAGCAGGGGGGAGUAUUGCACAAUGGGGGGAAGCCUGAUGAAGCAACGCCGCGUGCGGGAUGAAGGCCUUCGGGUUGUAAACCGCUGUCGCCUGUGACGAAGCGUGAGUGACGGUAAUGGGUAAAGAAGCACCGGCUAACUACGUG